UGGCGGCGUGGAUUAGGCAUGCAAGACGUGCGAGAACUUCUCUUAGCUUGCUUUGAGAAGGGACAGCGGCGUAGGGGAGAGUAACGCGUGGUUACGUGCCCCGGGGACCGGGAUAGCGUUGGGAAACUGACGGUAAUACCGGAUAAUAUCCUUGGAUCAAAUGGUGUGAUUCCGCCUUGGGAUCGGACCGCGUACUAUUAGCUUGUUGGUGAGGUAACGGCUCACCAAGGCUGCGAUGGUUACCGGGUGUGAGAGCAUGGCCCGGCUCACUGGGACUGAGACACUGCCCAGACAUCUACGGAUGGCUGCAGUCGAGAAUCUUCGGCAAUGGACGAAAGUCUGACCGAGCGACGCCGCGUGCGGGAUGAAGGCCUUCGGGUUGUAAACCGCUGUCAGUUAGGAGGAAAUCCAUGGGGGUUAUCCCUUAUGGUUGACCGAUUUUCAGAGGAAGGACGGGCUAAGUUCGUGCCAGCAGCCGCGGUAACACGAACCGUCCAAACGUUAUUCGGUAUCACUGGGCUUAAAGCGUGCGUAGGCGGCUUGGAAGGUGAGAUGUGAAAGCCCACGGCUCAACCGUGGAAUUGCGUUUCAAACCCUCAAGCUUGAGGAAGACAGGGGUGAUGGGAACUUAUGGUGGAGCGGUGAAAUGCGUUGAUAUCAUAGGGAACACCGGUGGCGAAGGCGCAUCACUGGGUCUUUUCUGACGCUGAGGCACGAAAGCUAGGGUAGCGAACGGGAUUAGAUACCCCGGUAGUCCUAGCUGUAAACGAUGAGCACUGGGUUGAGGGGACUUCCACAUCCUCUCGGCCGUAGCGAAAGCGUUAAGUGCUCCGCCUGGGGAGUAUGGUCGCAAGGCAA
Molecule: ribosomal RNA, 858 nt
Filed under: uncultured Planctomycetota bacterium
Lineage: Bacteria; Pseudomonadati; Planctomycetota
Description: bacterial SSU rRNA
Rfam family: Bacterial small subunit ribosomal RNA
Source: RNAcentral